This 477-nucleotide ribosomal RNA is filed under the name uncultured bacterium. RNAcentral's name for it is "partial 16S ribosomal RNA". It matches the Rfam family "Bacterial small subunit ribosomal RNA", at positions 899 to 1397 of the family's 1533-position model. The record is from RNAcentral.
ACUCAAAGGAAUAGACGGGGGCCCGCACAAGCAGCGGAGCGUGUGGUUUAAUUCGACGCAACGCGCAGCACCUCACCCAGGUUGGACAUGUGCCUGCAUGUCGCUGAAAAGCGGCAGCCUUCGAGGGUGGCACACAGAUGCUGCAUGGCUGUCGUCAGCUCGUGUCGUGAGAUGUUGGGUUCAGUCCCGCAACGAGCGCAACCCCUGCGGUCAGUUACUUGUGUCUGACCGGACUGCCCUUCGGGGAGGAAGGCGGGGAUGACGUCAAGUCCGCAUGGCUCUUACACCUGGGGCGACACACACGCUACAAUGGGACGGCCAGUGCGUUGCGACCGGGCAACCGGCAGCUAAUCGCGAACCCGUCCCGCAGUGCAGAUCGGGGGCUGCAACUCGCCCCCGUGAAGGCGGAGUUGCUAGUAACCGCGUAUCAGCUAUGGCGCGGUGAAUACGUACCCGGGCCUUGCACACACCGCCCGU